UACGUAGGGGGCUAGCGUUGUCCGGAAUCAUUGGGCGUAAAGCGCGUGAAGGCGGUCCGGUAAGUCCGCUGUGAAAGUCGGGGGCUCAACCCUCGGAUGCCGGUGGAUACUGUCGGGCUUGAGUACGGAAGAGGCGAGUGGAAUUCCUGGUGUAGCGGUGAAAUGCGCAGAUAUCAGGAGGAACACCAAUUGCGAAGGCAGCUCGCUGGGACGUUACUGACGCUGAGACGCGAAAGCGUGGGGAGCAAACAGG
This 253-nucleotide ribosomal RNA is filed under the name uncultured bacterium. Its description in RNAcentral is "partial 16S ribosomal RNA". It matches the Rfam family "Bacterial small subunit ribosomal RNA", at positions 524 to 776 of the family's 1533-position model. The record is from RNAcentral.